RNAcentral lists this ribosomal RNA (279 nucleotides) under uncultured bacterium. RNAcentral describes it as "partial 16S ribosomal RNA". It matches the Rfam family "Bacterial small subunit ribosomal RNA", at positions 506 to 784 of the family's 1533-position model. The record is from RNAcentral.
UGCCAGCAGCCGCGGUAAUACGGAGGGUGCAAGCGUUAUCCGGAUUUAUUGGGUUUAAAGGGUGCGCAGGCGGAUAUAUAAGUCAGUGGUGAAAUCUCUCGGCUCAACCGGGAAACUGCCAUUGAAACUGUAUAUCUUGAGUAUAGUUGUAGUAGGCGGAAUAUGUCAUGUAGCGGUGAAAUGCUUAGAUAUGACAUAGAACACCGAUCGCGAAGGCAGCUUACUAAGCUAUAACUGACGCUCAGGCACGAAAGCGUGGGGAGCAAACAGGAUUAGAUA